Molecule: long non-coding RNA, 283 nt
Organism: Macadamia integrifolia
Lineage: Eukaryota; Viridiplantae; Streptophyta; Magnoliopsida; Proteales; Proteaceae
Exons: 2
Source: RefSeq, a predicted model, not a curated record
UUGUCUCAGGUAUAAAAGGAGCUUAGGGCAUCAUAAUCCCCGAUCGGUUAAAGAAGUCUUUAAGGAUUUUAGAUGAAAGCACGCCGGGACAAUCAAGGCUCUCACCACUGAUGUUGAUAAAUUCUUUCAAUAAUGUGAUCCUCGUGAAUUCUGUUUCUUAUAUGGGAUUGGUGGGGUUUUGGUUUUAAAAAUGUAAUAGUGACUACAGUAUCAAUUAGGUUUCUGGAUGCUGUUAAAUUGUAUAUUUUGAGUAUUUGAGAGUUGCAAUUACUCAGGUUUCACU